ACAGGCAGCUCAAGUGGUGGCCAAUUUUAUUGGGCCUAAAGCGUUAGUAGCCGGUUUGAUAAGUCUCUGGGGAAAUCACGCAGCUUAACUGUGGGGCUUGCUGGAGAUACUAUUAGACUUGAGGUCGGGAGAGGUUAGGGGUACUCCCAGGGUAGGGGUGAAAUCUUGUAAUCCUCGGAGGACCACCAGUGGCGAAGGCGCCUAACUGGAACGAACCUGACGGUGAGUAACGAAAGCCAGGGGCGCGAACCU
RNAcentral lists this ribosomal RNA (252 nucleotides) under uncultured prokaryote. Its description in RNAcentral is "partial 16S rRNA". It matches the Rfam family "Archaeal small subunit ribosomal RNA", at positions 475 to 726 of the family's 1478-position model. The record is from RNAcentral.